Molecule: ribosomal RNA, 2263 nt
Filed under: Neocalanus flemingeri
Lineage: Eukaryota; Metazoa; Arthropoda; Copepoda; Calanoida; Calanidae
Description: bacterial LSU rRNA
Rfam family: Bacterial large subunit ribosomal RNA
Source: RNAcentral
AGCGUGCACGGUGGAUGCCUUGGCAGUCAGAGGCGAUGAAGGACGUGGUAAUCUGCGAAAAGCUCGGGGGAGUUGAUAAACAAGCGUUAAUCCCGAGAUGUCCGAAUGGGGAAACCCACCCGCUUGCGGGUAUCGUAUGGUGAAUACAUAGCCAUACGAGGCGAACCCGGGGAACUGAAACAUCUAAGUACCCGGAGGAAAAGAAAUCAACCGAGAUUCCCUAAGUAGCGGCGAGCGAACGGGGAUUAGCCCUUAAGUUAAUUUGGUGUUAGUAGAAGGUUCUGGAAAGGACCGCCGUAGAGAGUGAAAGCCUCGUAUACGAAAAUGCCCUUUUAAUGAAAACGAGUAGGACGGGACACGUGACAUCCUGUCUGAAUAUGGGGGGACCAUCCUCCAAGGCUAAAUACUCCUGACUGACCGAUAGUGAACCAGUACCGUGAGGGAAAGGCGAAAAGAACCCCUGUGAGGGGAGUGAAAUAGAUCCUGAAACCGUGUACGUACAAGCAGUGGGAGCGGACUUGUUCCGUGACUGCGUACCUUUUGUAUAAUGGGUCAACGACUUAUUUUCAGUAGCAAGGUUAACCGAAUAGCGGAGCCGUAGGGAAACCGAGUCUUAAUAGGGCGUAUAGUUGCUGGGAAUAGACCCGAAACCGGGCGAUCUAUCCAUGGGCAGGUUGAAGGUUGAGUAACACCAACUGGAGGACCGAACCCACGUACGUUGAAAAAUGAGGGGAUGACCUGUGGAUAGGAGUGAAAGGCUAAUCAAGCUCGGAGAUAGCUGGUUCUCCUCGAAAGCUAUUUAGGUAGCGCCUCGUAUCUCACCAUUGGGGGUAGAGCACUGUUUGGGCUAGGGGGUCAUCCCGACUUACCAACCCCAUGCAAACUCCGAAUACCAAUGAGUGCAAUUACGGGAGACACACGGCGGGUGCUAACGUCCGUCGUGGAAAGGGAAACAACCCAGACCGUCAGCUAAGGUCCCCAAGUUACAGUUAAGUGGGAAACGAUGUGGGAAGGCUUAGACAGCUAGGAGGUUGGCUUAGAAGCAGCCACCCUUUAAAGAAAGCGUAAUAGCUCACUAGUCGAGUCGGCCUGCGCGGAAGAUAUAACGGGGCUAAAACUGUACACCGAAGCUACGGACGCAGAACUUGUUCUGCGUGGUAGAGGAGCGUUCUGUAAGUGGAUGAAGGUUAAGCCGGGAGGCAAGCUGGACAUAUCAGAAGUGCGAAUGUUGACAUGAGUAACGAUAAGGGGGGUGAAAAACCUCCCCGCCGGAAGACCAAGGGUUCCUGUCCAACGCUAUUCGUGGCAGGGUGAGUCGGCCCCUAAGGCGAGGCAGAGAUGCGUAGUCGAUGGGAAGCGGGUUAAUAUUCCCGCACAUUUUAUAACUGCGAUGGAGAGACGGAGCAGGCUAGGCGAGCGCGGCGAUGGUUGUCCGUGUUUAAGCGAGUAGGUUGGGGGAUUAGGCAAAUCCGGUCCCCUAUUAAGACUGAGACGUGAUGACGAGGUCCUAAGGGAUUGAAGUUGUUGAUGCCAUGCUUCCAGGAAAAUCUUCUAAGCUUCAGGUUGUAAUGUACCGUACCCCAAACCGACACAGGUGGUCAGGUAGAGAAUACUAAGGCGUAUGAGAGAACUCGGGUGAAGGAACUAGGCAAAAUGGUGCCGUAACUUCGGGAGAAGGCACGCCACUGAUGGUGAUGGAAUUUACUUCCUAAGCUGUUGGUGGUCGAAGAUACCAGGUGGCUGCGACUGUUUAUUAAAAACACAGCACUGUGCAAACACGAAAGUGGACGUAUACGGUGUGACGCCUGCCCGGUGCCGGAAGGUUAAUUGAUUGGGUUAGCUCUGCGAAGCUCAUGAUCGAAGCCCCGGUAAACGGCGGCCGUAACUAUAACGGUCCUAAGGUAGCGAAAUUCCUUGUCGGGUAAGUUCCGACCUGCACGAAUGGCGUAACGAUGGCCACACUGUCUCCACCCGAGACUCAGUGAAAUUGAAAUCGCAGUGAAGAUGCUGUGUAUCCGCGGCUAGACGGAAAGACCCCGUGAACCUUUACUAUAGCUUCACAGUGAACUUUGAACCUACUUGUGUAGGAUAGGUGGGAGGCUUUGAAACCAAGACGCUAGUUUUGGUGGAGCCACUCUUGAAAUACCACCCUGGUAUGUUUGAGGUUCUAACUCAGGUCCCUUAUCGGGAUCGAGGACACUGUGUGGUGGGUAGUUUGACUGGGGCGGUCUCCUCCCAAAGAGUAACGGAGGAGCACGAAGGU